RNAcentral lists this long non-coding RNA (801 nucleotides) under Lepisosteus oculatus (spotted gar). RNAcentral describes it as "lncRNA (ENSLOCG00000021524.1)". Lineage: Eukaryota; Metazoa; Chordata; Actinopteri; Semionotiformes; Lepisosteidae. The record is from RNAcentral.
AAUUAACCCAGAUCUGCGCUCCACCUGAGAUGCAGUGGGCGUAUCCUCAGAGCCCUACUUGGCAGGAGGUUGCAGCCAGGCCUGUUGUUUGUGGCUUGAGAAAAGGGCAGCACCUUGUAAAAUAGCUGGAGAUUAUGUACAGAAAAAUAUUUGCCUGCUGGGCGUUCUGGACAGCUCGUGCUAACAGCAGCACUUAUUCUGCCAAUUUACAUUUGCAUUCUACGGGAACAUUUUUUAAAGAAACUUCUGAAAAUGGAGGCAUUUAUGUUUCAAUUUGCACAGAGAAGUUCAGACCUUGCCCAAACUUAAAUGCUGUGUGGCCAAGUACUGCUGUGAACUGCGACACGGUGGUCUUAUACAGAGAAGACGGAAGCAAGAUGUUGAGACCUCUUAAAACUCAUUUUGUGAGUCACAGACCUUCAAUUUCUAAGGGGCAGUCACCCCUUUAUUAUUGCACUGCAUAAUUGUUUCAUGUCCAGGCUUAAAAGUUCUUUAAAUAUGAUGCAAUGAAGUGUAUUUUAAACUAUUAGAUCUAGGAGAAUUUUGUGUGAAGUGCUUCGGUUCUGUGAACACAUACUGUAACUCAGUUCUGCUUGAAAGCAUGUUAGCAAUGACUUAUUCAUAAAUUACUUAUGUUGGAAUGUUAAUGGUUGUCUUAAUUAGCAGGCUGACUUUUUAAUUUUAAGGUUGCUUAAAUAUUUAUAUCUCAAUCACACACACUGUAUGGUUUCAGAUAAUUACAAAUACCCUUGAGGCGGGAUACAAUUAAAAUUUGGACUAACGUUGAAGGCUAUUUACAAG